GACGAACGCUGGCGGCGUGCUUAACACAUGCAAGUCGAACGGAAAGGACCUGCUUUUGUGGGGUGCUCGAGUGCCGAAAGGGUGAGUAACACGUGAGUAACCUGCCCUUGACUUUGGGAUCCCUUCAGGAAACUGGGGCUAAUAACGGAUCGGAGCUCCUGCUGCAAGGUGGGGGAUGGAAAGUUUCGGCUGUUGGGGAUGGACUGGCGGCUUAUCAGCUUGUUGGUGUGGUAGUGGCUUACCACGGCUUUGACGGGUAGCCGGCCUGGGAGGGUGACCGGCCACAUUGGGACUGAGAUACGGCACAGACCCCUACGGGAGGCAGCAGUGGAGAAUAUGGCACAAUGGACGGAAGCCUGAUGCAGCAACGCCGCGUGCGGGAUGACGGCCUUCGGGUUGUAAACCGCUUUCGCCUGUGACGAAGCGUGAGUGACGGUAAUGGGUAAAGAAGCACCGGCUAACUACGUG
This 468-nucleotide ribosomal RNA is filed under the name uncultured bacterium. RNAcentral describes it as "partial 16S ribosomal RNA". It matches the Rfam family "Bacterial small subunit ribosomal RNA", at positions 28 to 507 of the family's 1533-position model. The record is from RNAcentral.